Long non-coding RNA from Camarhynchus parvulus, 685 nucleotides. RefSeq lists it as uncharacterized. The transcript has 3 exons. The record is from RefSeq and is a predicted model, not a curated record. NCBI's taxonomy places the organism in Eukaryota, Metazoa, Chordata, Aves, Passeriformes, Thraupidae.
GCGCCCGGGGAGCGGCGGGGCCGGGCCGGGGCACCGGGGGCGGCGGCGCCGGGCUCGGAGCCAAGAACAUCCCAAAGUGCCUCCUCACCCUCAUGGACAGCAGGAAUGUCUUCCAUGGCUCCUGUUUAGGAAUGGCAGUGGCUGUUGGGAGCUCUGGCAGGAGCACCUGGAGUCCAGCAGGGAGACAUUUAAACAGGAGGUGCCAAAAAGAAUUGGAGCUUCUGCACAAUGAAAUCUGCCAGAAUCCAACUUCAAAUCCCCCUGGAUUGUCACCGGGCCAACUUCCAUGGACUGGUCACCAUGGCCAGCAGUGUCCAAUCCUGCUGGAAAUGCACUGGACCAGGAUGUCAUUUUCAUUUUAUGCUGGUAAAGACCCUCUGGGUGACCCCCAGUGACUGGGAGGACCAGACUGGGCUCCCAGGGCACUAAUUCCAGGAGUUCUGUUUUUGGGAAUAGCACAGGAGCCCUUCCCUUGCCCAGAGGAGCAGCAAGUGCCUCGAAUCCCCAGGAUGGACCACAGAGAAAAUAACAGGAAUAUGGAAAUCCCCUACACUGGGAGUUUGUGGUGCUCUGGAUUACAUUUUGGAUUUAAAAUGUUAAAGGGGGGUGUGGAGGGGCUUUUCUCUCUCUCCUGUUCAUUAUUGUUCUCACUGCUCUUGUUGCUCUCACUGUUAUUAUGUGUUGU